This 254-nucleotide ribosomal RNA is filed under the name uncultured bacterium. RNAcentral's name for it is "partial 16S ribosomal RNA". It matches the Rfam family "Bacterial small subunit ribosomal RNA", at positions 524 to 776 of the family's 1533-position model. The record is from RNAcentral.
GACGUAGGGCGCGAGCGUUGUCCGGAUUUACUGGGCGUAAAGGGCGCGUAGGCGGCCACUGCAAGUCGGUUGUGAAAUCUCCGGGCUUAACCCGGAAAGGUCAAUCGAUACUGCAGGGCUAGAGUGCAGAAGGGGCAACUGGAAUUCUCGGUGUAGCGGUGAAAUGCGUAGAUAUCAGGAGGAACACCGAUGGCGAAGGCAGGUCUCUGGGCUGACACUGACGCUCAUGCACGAAAGCGUGGGGAGCAAACAGG